GGGUUGUGAGGUUAAGCGACUAAGCGUACACGGUGGAUGCCCUGGCAGUCAGAGGCGAUGAAGGACGUGCUAAUCUGCGAUAAGCGUCGGUAAGGUGAUAUGAACCGUUAUAACCGGCGAUUUCCGAAUGGGGAAACCCAGUGUGAUUCGUCACACUAUCAUUAACUGAAUCCAUAGGUUAAUGAGGCGAACCGGGGGAACUGAAACAUCUAAGUACCCCGAGGAAAAGAAAUCAACCGAGAUUCCCCCAGUAGCGGCGAGCGAACGGGGAGCAGCCCAGAGCCUGAAUCAGUGUGUGUGUUAGUGGAAGCGUCUGGAAAGGCGUGCGAUACAGGGUGACAGCCCCGUACACAAAAAUGCACAUACUGUGAGCUCGAUGAGUAGGGCGGGACACGUGGUAUCCUGUCUGAAUAUGGGGGGACCAUCCUCCAAGGCUAAAUACUCCUGACUGACCGAUAGUGAACCAGUACCGUGAGGGAAAGGCGAAAAGAACCCCGGCGAGGGGAGUGAAAAAGAACCUGAAACCGUGUACGUACAAGCAGUGGGAGCACGCUUAGGCGUGUGACUGCGUACCUUUUGUAUAAUGGGUCAGCGACUUAUAUUCUGUAGCAAGGUUAACCGAAUAGGGGAGCCGAAGGGAAACCGAGUCUUAACUGGGCGUUAAGUUGCAGGGUAUAGACCCGAAACCCGGUGAUCUAGCCAUGGGCAGGUUGAAGGUUGGGUAACACUAACUGGAGGACCGAACCGACUAAUGUUGAAAAAUUAGCGGAUGACUUGUGGCUGGGGGUGAAAGGCCAAUCAAACCGGGAGAUAGCUGGUUCUCCCCGAAAGCUAUUUAGGUAGCGCCUCGUGAAUUCAUCUCCGGGGGUAGAGCACUGUUUCGGCAAGGGGGUCAUCCCGACUUACCAACCCGAUGCAAACUGCGAAUACCGGAGAAUGUUAUUACGGGAGACACACGGCGGGUGCUAACGUCCGUCGUGAAGAGGGAAACAACCCAGACCGCCAGCUAAGGUCCCAAAGUCAUGGUUAAGUGGGAAACGAUGUGGGAAGGCCCAGACAGCCAGGAUGUUGGCUUAGAAGCAGCCAUCAUUUAAAGAAAGCGUAAUAGCUCACUGGUCGAGUCGGCCUGCGCGGAAGAUGUAACGGGGCUAAACCAUGCACCGAAGCUGCGGCAGCGACGCUUAUGCGUUGUUGGGUAGGGGAGCGUUCUGUAAGCCUGUGAAGGUGUGCUGUGAGGUAUGCUGGAGGUAUCAGAAGUGCGAAUGCUGACAUAAGUAACGAUAAAGCGGGUGAAAAGCCCGCUCGCCGGAAGACCAAGGGUUCCUGUCCAACGUUAAUCGGGGCAGGGUGAGUCGACCCCUAAGGCGAGGCCGAAAGGCGUAGUCGAUGGGAAACAGGUUAAUAUUCCUGUACUUGGUGUUACUGCGAAGGGGGGACGGAGAAGGCUAUGUUGGCCGGGCGACGGUUGUCCCGGUUUAAGCGUGUAGGCUGGUUUUCCAGGCAAAUCCGGAAAAUCAAGGCCGAGGCGUGAUGACGAGGCACUACGGUGCUGAAGCAACAAAUGCCCUGCUUCCAGGAAAAGCCUCUAAGCAUCAGGUAACAUCAAAUCGUACCCCAAACCGACACAGGUGGUCAGGUAGAGAAUACCAAGGCGCUUGAGAGAACUCGGGUGAAGGAACUAGGCAAAAUGGUGCCGUAACUUCGGGAGAAGGCACGCUGAUACGUAGGUGAAGCGACUUGCUCGUGGAGCUGAAAUCAGUCGAAGAUACCAGCUGGCUGCAACUGUUUAUUAAAAACACAGCACUGUGCAAACACGAAAGUGGACGUAUACGGUGUGACGCCUGCCCGGUGCCGGAAGGUUAAUUGAUGGGGUUAGCGCAAGCGAAGCUCUUGAUCGAAGCCCCGGUAAACGGCGGCCGUAACUAUAACGGUCCUAAGGUAGCGAAAUUCCUUGUCGGGUAAGUUCCGACCUGCACGAAUGGCGUAAUGAUGGCCAGGCUGUCUCCACCCGAGACUCAGUGAAAUUGAACUCGCUGUGAAGAUGCAGUGUACCCGCGGCAAGACGGAAAGACCCCGUGAACCUUUACUAUAGCUUGACACUGAACAUUGAGCCUUGAUGUGUAGGAUAGGUGGGAGGCUUUGAAGUGUGGACGCCAGUCUGCAUGGAGCCGACCUUGAAAUACCACCCUUUAAUGUUUGAUGUUCUAACGUGGACCCGUGAUCCGGGUUGCGGACAGUGUCUGGUGGGUAGUUUGACUGGGGCGGUCUCCUCCUAAAGAGUAACGGAGGAGCACGAAGGUUGGCUAAUCCUGGUCGGACAUCAGGAGGUUAGUGCAAUGGCAUAAGCCAGCUUGACUGCGAGCGUGACGGCGCGAGCAGGUGCGAAAGCAGGUCAUAGUGAUCCGGUGGUUCUGAAUGGAAGGGCCAUCGCUCAACGGAUAAAAGGUACUCCGGGGAUAACAGGCUGAUACCGCCCAAGAGUUCAUAUCGACGGCGGUGUUUGGCACCUCGAUGUCGGCUCAUCACAUCCUGGGGCUGAAGUAGGUCCCAAGGGUAUGGCUGUUCGCCAUUUAAAGUGGUACGCGAGCUGGGUUUAGAACGUCGUGAGACAGUUCGGUCCCUAUCUGCCGUGGGC
RNAcentral lists this ribosomal RNA (2635 nucleotides) under Shigella flexneri. RNAcentral's name for it is "partial 23S ribosomal RNA". It matches the Rfam family "Bacterial large subunit ribosomal RNA". The record is from RNAcentral. Lineage: Bacteria; Pseudomonadati; Pseudomonadota; Gammaproteobacteria; Enterobacterales; Enterobacteriaceae. RNAcentral also lists the same sequence under 1 other name.